Molecule: ribosomal RNA, 431 nt
Filed under: uncultured bacterium
Lineage: Bacteria
Description: partial 16S ribosomal RNA
Rfam family: Bacterial small subunit ribosomal RNA
Source: RNAcentral
AGCGAACGCUGGCGGCAGGCUUAACACAUGCAAGUCGAGCGGGCACUUCGGUGUCAGCGGCAGACGGGUGCGUAACACGUGGGAACGUACCCUUCGGUUCGGAAUAACGCCGCGAAACUAGCGCUAAUACCGGAUACGCCCUUUUGGGGAAAGGUUUACUGCCGUAGGAUCGGCCCGCGUCUGAUUAGCUAGUUGGUGGGGUAAUGGCCUACCAAGGCGACGAUCCGUAGCUGGUCUGAGAGGAUGAUCAGCCACACUGGGACUGAGACACGGCCCAGACCCCCACGGGAGGGAGGAGUGGGAAAUAGUGGAAAAGGGGCGAAAGCCUGAUACAACCAUGGCGCGAGAGUGAAGAAGGCCAGAGUGUUAAAAAGCUCUUUUGUCCGGGACGAUAAUGACGGUACCGGAAGAAUAAGCCCCGGCUAACUUCG